UUUCAUACUGGCCAAAAUGCUCAGUACAGCAGUGUGUUAAUUGCCUCCUUAUUUAAUUGUAUGAGUUAUGACUAUAUUUUAAUACUUGUCUUUCCGCCUUUGCCUUCCUCUUAACAUAAGCUCCUUUCGGAUCUGUGAGACCACGCCAGUGUUGAUGUAGACCAACAAAUUCUCACACUGCUCUCUGUAAUGACACGCCGAGUCCUUCAAGUUUUGUGGAGUCCCCUGAAGGAGAAGCUCAGGUGCAUGAUUGAUGACUAAAGAUAGCAGACUGAAAAAAGGGCAUACAGUUUGAAGCAGCUAUUCUGCUCUUGCCUGCUCUGUUCAAGGAGGACCCGGCAUUGCUGUUUGAAGUUGAGGGCCAUUCUCAGACCAGCCCAUCCCAACACCUAAGAUGAAGCUUAAAGGCUGUCGGGAGGGUCAUCUCGUGCAGUAUGACCACAUUGUGCUCACGUUGGAUGGACAGCUAAUCACAGAGGAGAGCGAUGACAUCUUGACGGCACUGGGACUCCUCCUGUGUGUAUAUUUUGUGUUUGGAAUGUAGUAUCCUAAAGCAGCGGUUCUCAAUUCCAGUCCUGGCGACCAGUCCCCACAUGUUUUGCGUGUCUCACUUAUUUAACACACCUGAUUCAGAUCAUGAGCUCAUUAGAAAAGAGUUCCAUGAAUGAACUCUGCUCUGACUGACAUGGUCCCUACACAGUGUCCCUACAUGUAACAUUCAUUCACAGAUUUACACUACUUCCUGUCACUGUAAGUAUUUUCUCUAUUUCUGGGCCUCUUCCAGCUCUAGAUUAUUUUUGUUAAAAAUCCUGAAGGAUUUACAGAAAUGUUAGUACACUGUGGACAGUGAAAGAGUGAAAGAUACUGGAGUACUUCAGAGUGUACAACUUAGUUUGCACAUGGUUGUGUAUUACUCAUUUUCAGUAAUUUCACUCACUUACUAUUAAUGAUAAAAAUACUAGAUUUUCCAAAUAAAGUAAAGAACUAAUGUAGGCCGAUUACAGGGCUACAGUAUAUACAUAUAUAA
This is a long non-coding RNA of Cyprinus carpio (common carp), 1027 nucleotides long. RefSeq lists it as uncharacterized. The transcript is spliced from 3 exons. Lineage: Eukaryota; Metazoa; Chordata; Actinopteri; Cypriniformes; Cyprinidae. The record is from RefSeq and is a predicted model, not a curated record.